Long non-coding RNA from Coregonus clupeaformis (lake whitefish), 144 nucleotides. RefSeq lists it as uncharacterized. The record is from RefSeq and is a predicted model, not a curated record. NCBI's taxonomy places the organism in Eukaryota, Metazoa, Chordata, Actinopteri, Salmoniformes, Salmonidae. The transcript has 3 exons.
GUAAAUUGAGGCGAAUAUAUUGAGAAAACUCACCUUGUCCGAAAGAGAAUUACAUGGCUAUCAAAAUGUCAUGCCAGGGACAACAACAUUAAGGGUCAUCGUUACUUGGUGAGGAUGAAGUGGAUGAGAGAGGAAGUUGAGAAG